UACGAAGGGGGCUAGCGUUGUUCGGAAUUACUGGGCGUAAAGCGAGCGUAGGUUGCUCGACAAGUCAGUGGUGAAAGCCCAGAGCUCAACUCUGGAACUGCCAUUGAAACUGUCGAGCUGGAAUGUCAGAGGGGAUAGCGGAAUUCCAAAUGUAGGGGUGAAAUCCGUAGAUAUUUGGAGGAACACCGGUGGCGAAGGCGGCUAUCUGGAUGACUAUUGACACUGAGGCUCGAAAGCGUGGGGAUCAAACAGG
This 253-nucleotide ribosomal RNA is filed under the name uncultured bacterium. Its description in RNAcentral is "partial 16S ribosomal RNA". It matches the Rfam family "Bacterial small subunit ribosomal RNA", at positions 524 to 776 of the family's 1533-position model. The record is from RNAcentral.